GAUGAACGCUGGCGGCGUGCCUAAUACAUGCAAGUCGAGCGAACGGACGAGAAGCUUGCUUCUCUGAUGUUAGCGGCGGACGGGUGAGUAACACGUGGAUAACCUACCUAUAGGACUGGGAUAACUUCGGGAAACCGUAGCUAAUACCGGAUAAUAUUUUGAACCGCAUGGUUCAAAAGUGAAAGACGGUCUUGCUGUCACUUAUAGAUGGAUCCGCGCUGCAUUAGCUAGUUGGUAGGGUAACGGCUUACCAAGGCAACGAUGCAUAGCCGACCUGAGAGGGUGAUCGGCCACACUGGAACUGAGACACGGUCCAGACUCCUACGGGAGGCAGCAGUAGGGAAUCUUCCGCAAUGGGCGAAAGCCUGACGGAGCAACGCCGCGUGAGUGAUGAAGGUCUUCGGAUCGUAAAACUCUGUUAUUAGGGAAGAACAUAUGUGUAAGUAACUGUGCACAUCUUGACGGUACCUAAUCAGAAAGCCACGGCUAACUACGUG
Molecule: ribosomal RNA, 497 nt
Filed under: uncultured bacterium
Lineage: Bacteria
Description: partial 16S ribosomal RNA
Rfam family: Bacterial small subunit ribosomal RNA
Source: RNAcentral